Macadamia integrifolia is the source of this 485-nucleotide long non-coding RNA. RefSeq lists it as uncharacterized. NCBI's taxonomy places the organism in Eukaryota, Viridiplantae, Streptophyta, Magnoliopsida, Proteales, Proteaceae. The transcript has 3 exons. The record is from RefSeq and is a predicted model, not a curated record.
AAAACUUCUUGGACAGCAAGAGGAAGAAAGAAGAAAGAAGUAGAAGAAGAAGAGAGGGGAAGAGAGGGAAAUCCAAGUAGAGAUUGUGGCUCUUAGGAUCUUGUUAGAGGACUCAGCAACAAGGAGUUCCAGUUAAUUGUGAGGGAAUAAGUUCAGCACCUGGAAAAGUGGGAACUGAUUCAGAUUUUCCAGAUGAGGAGAGUAGUCACCUACAGGCUACUAGUACUGAGCAUGACCUAUGGUUAUGGAUCAGUUGGCAUGUAUUCCAAAUUUUGAUGAUUUCAGUCAUGGACCUGAUUGCGAAUGCGAUGAUUGUGUAUAUGGUGGACAGCUUAAUUAAGAUGUGAUAUUAUGAGUCUUUUUGUGUAUAUAUGAGGAUGAAGGUAGAGGUCAGGUUUUGAUGGUUGACAGGUGGAAGGAUUCUUUUUGUGUACACACAUUUUGAUACUUGGGUUUAUGUAAUAUAAUGGAUCACUGUAAGUAAA